This 873-nucleotide ribosomal RNA is filed under the name Escherichia coli. RNAcentral's name for it is "partial 23S ribosomal RNA". It matches the Rfam family "Bacterial large subunit ribosomal RNA", at positions 396 to 1268 of the family's 2925-position model. Lineage: Bacteria; Pseudomonadati; Pseudomonadota; Gammaproteobacteria; Enterobacterales; Enterobacteriaceae. The record is from RNAcentral.
ACUGUGAGCUCGAUGAGUAGGGCGGGACACGUGGUAUCCUGUCUGAAUAUGGGGGGACCAUCCUCCAAGGCUAAAUACUCCUGACUGACCGAUAGUGAACCAGUACCGUGAGGGAAAGGCGAAAAGAACCCCGGCGAGGGGAGUGAAAAAGAACCUGAAACCGUGUACGUACAAGCAGUGGGAGCACGCUUAGGCGUGUGACUGCGUACCUUUUGUAUAAUGGGUCAGCGACUUAUAUUCUGUAGCAAGGUUAACCGAAUAGGGGAGCCGAAGGGAAACCGAGUCUUAACUGGGCGUUAAGUUGCAGGGUAUAGACCCGAAACCCGGUGAUCUAGCCAUGGGCAGGUUGAAGGUUGGGUAACACUAACUGGAGGACCGAACCGACUAAUGUUGAAAAAUUAGCGGAUGACUUGUGGCUGGGGGUGAAAGGCCAAUCAAACCGGGAGAUAGCUGGUUCUCCCCGAAAGCUAUUUAGGUAGCGCCUCGUGAAUUCAUCUCCGGGGGUAGAGCACUGUUUCGGCAAGGGGGUCAUCCCGACUUACCAACCCGAUGCAAACUGCGAAUACCGGAGAAUGUUAUCACGGGAGACACACGGCGGGUGCUAACGUCCGUCGUGAAGAGGGAAACAACCCAGACCGCCAGCUAAGGUCCCAAAGUCAUGGUUAAGUGGGAAACGAUGUGGGAAGGCCCAGACAGCCAGGAUGUUGGCUUAGAAGCAGCCAUCAUUUAAAGAAAGCGUAAUAGCUCACUGGUCGAGUCGGCCUGCGCGGAAGAUGUAACGGGGCUAAACCAUGCACCGAAGCUGCGGCAGCGACGCUUAUGCGUUGUUGGGUAGGGGAGCGUUCUGUAAGCCUGCGAAGGUGUGCUGUGAGG